RNAcentral lists this transfer RNA (74 nucleotides) under bacterium. RNAcentral describes it as "tRNA-Trp". It matches the Rfam family "tRNA". Rfam says of the family: Transfer RNA (tRNA) molecules are approximately 80 nucleotides in length. The record is from RNAcentral. RNAcentral also lists the same sequence under 2 other names.
AGGGCUGUAGCUCAACUGGCCAGAGCACCGGAUUCCAAAUCCGGCGGUUGGGGGUUCAACUCCCUCCAGCCCUG